AGUGAACGCUGGCGGUAGGCCUAACACAUGCAAGUCGAACGGCAGCACAGUAAGAGCUUGCUCUUACGGGUGGCGAGUGGCGGACGGGUGAGGAGUACAUCGGAAUCUACUUUUUCGUGGGGGAUAACGUAGGGAAACUUACGCUAAUACCGCAUACGACCUACGGGUGAAAGCAGGGGAUCUUCGGACCUUGCGCGAUUGAAUGAGCCGAUGUCGGAUUAGCUAGUUGGCGGGGUAAAGGCCCACCAAGGCGACGAUCCGUAGCUGGUCUGAGAGGAUGGUCGGCCACACGGGAACGGGAACACGGUCCAGACUCCUGCGGGAGGCAGCAGUGGGGAAUAUUGGACAAUGGGCGCAAGCCUGAUCCAACCAUACCGCGUGGGUGAAAGAGGCCUUCGGGUUGUAAAGCCCUUUUGUUGGGAAAGAAAAGCAGCAGGUUAAUACCCCGCUGUUCUGACGGUACCCAAAAAAUAAGCACCGGCUAACUUCGUG
Molecule: ribosomal RNA, 492 nt
Filed under: uncultured bacterium
Lineage: Bacteria
Description: partial 16S ribosomal RNA
Rfam family: Bacterial small subunit ribosomal RNA
Source: RNAcentral